RNAcentral lists this ribosomal RNA (460 nucleotides) under uncultured bacterium. RNAcentral's name for it is "partial 16S ribosomal RNA". It matches the Rfam family "Bacterial small subunit ribosomal RNA", at positions 338 to 795 of the family's 1533-position model. The record is from RNAcentral.
CCUACGGGAGGCAGCAGUGAGGAAUAUUGGUCAAUGGGCGCUAGCCUGAACCAGCCAAGUAGCGUGAAGGAUGACUGCCCUCUGGGUUGUAAACUUCUUUUACAUGGGAAUAAAGUGCAGUUUGUAUACUGCUUUGCAUGUACCUUAUGAAUAAGGAUCGGCUAACUCCGUGCCAGCAGCCGCGGUAAUACGGAGGUUGCGAGCGUUAUCCGGAUUUAUUGGGUUGAAAGGGAGCGUAGGGGGGUGGUUAAGUCAGUUCGGAAAGUUUCCGGCUCAACCGUAAAAUUGCAGUUGAUACUGGCAUCCUGGAGUGCAGGAGAGGUAGGCGGAAUUCGUGGUGUAGCGGUGAAAUGCGUAGAUAUCACGAGGAACUCCAAUGGCGAAGGCGGCCUGCUGGACUGUAACUGACGCUGAUGCUCGAAAGUGUGGGUAUCAAACAGGAUUAGAUACCCGAGUAGUC